RNAcentral lists this ribosomal RNA (467 nucleotides) under uncultured bacterium. Its description in RNAcentral is "partial 16S ribosomal RNA". It matches the Rfam family "Bacterial small subunit ribosomal RNA", at positions 28 to 507 of the family's 1533-position model. The record is from RNAcentral.
GAUGAACGCUGGCGGCGUGCUUAACACAUGCAAGUCGAACGGAAAGGCCCAAGCUUGCUUGGGUACUCGAGUGGCGAACGGGUGAGUAACACGUGGGUGAUCUGCCCUGCACUUCGGGAUAAGCCUGGGAAACUGGGUCUAAUACCGGAUAGGACCACUUCUUGGAUGGUGUGGUGGAAAGUUUUUUCGGUGUGGGAUGAGCUCGCGGCCUAUCAGCUUGUUGGUGGGGUAAUGGCCUACCAAGGCGUCGACGGGUAGCCGGCCUGAGAGGGUGUACGGCCACAUUGGGACUGAGAUACGGCCCAGACCCCUACGGGAGGCAGCAGGGGGGAAUAUUGCACAAUGGGCGCAAGCCUGAUGCAGCGACGCCGCGUGGGGGAUGACGGCCUUCGGGUUGUAAACUCCUUUCGCUAGGGACGAAGCGUUUUGUGACGGUACCUGGAGAAGAAGCACCGGCUAACUACGUG